GGGUAAGCUAUGCCGGGAGUGUAGCUCUCUCCUGUGACUGUCAGCGAGCUUUAGACAGGGCGAAUCGUCGCGGCGAGGACGUCCUGGUUGUCGUGGUCUCGUGCCGGACGCUGAGAGCCUGUCCUGGUUGGGUACCGCGGUGGGAACCGUGUCAGGCGGGGAACCGAGCAGCACUAACCGCAUCGGCUACUGCUUCCAGGGUAGCGGGCUUGAGAAAGGCGCGAGAGUGCCUGGCAACCAGGUGUUCACAACGCGAUGACGCUUACCC
RNAcentral lists this signal recognition particle RNA (268 nucleotides) under Candidatus Woesearchaeota archaeon. RNAcentral describes it as "signal recognition particle sRNA". It matches the Rfam family "Archaeal signal recognition particle RNA". Lineage: Archaea; Nanobdellati; Candidatus Woesearchaeota. The record is from RNAcentral.